UAAUAGCGUAUAUUAAAGUUGUUGCAGUUAAAAAGCUCGUAGUCGGAUGUCGGGCUCGGGCAGGCUGUCGGCCUCUGGUCGGAUGGCAGGCUCGGGUCUUCUUGCCUGGGGGCACCGUCACACUUAACUGUGGGGCGGCUGGUCGCAGGCCGUUUACUUUGAAAAAAUUAGAGUGUUCAAAGCAGGCCUACGCUUGAAUACAUUAGCAUGGAAUAAUGGAAUAGGACUUUGGUGCUAUUUUGUUGGUUUAUGGUACCGAAGUAAUGAUUAAUAGGGACAGUUGGGGCCGUUUAUAUUUCGUUGUCAGAGGUGAAAUUCUUGGAUUUACGAAAGAUAAACUUCUGCGAAAGCAUUCGGCAAGGAUGUUUUCAUUGAUCAAGAACGAAAGUUAGGGGAUCGAAGACGAUUAGAUACCGU
Molecule: ribosomal RNA, 417 nt
Filed under: uncultured eukaryote
Lineage: Eukaryota
Description: SSU rRNA
Rfam family: Eukaryotic small subunit ribosomal RNA
Source: RNAcentral